This 365-nucleotide ribosomal RNA is filed under the name uncultured eukaryote. RNAcentral describes it as "SSU rRNA". It matches the Rfam family "Eukaryotic small subunit ribosomal RNA", at positions 587 to 972 of the family's 1831-position model. The record is from RNAcentral.
AGCUCCAAUAGCGUAUAUUAAAGUUGUUGCAGUUAAAAAGCUCGUAGUUGAAACUCUGGUAGUUGGGCUGUUCGCUCUUGAGCGAAUUGCCCGCUGCCAUCCGCCUGUGAGCGAGUGCCCUGUCUUCACCGACAGUCCUCGCGAACUGGCAUUUUACCUUGAGAAAAACAGAGUGUUCCAGGCAGGUUUGUCCGGAAUGCAUUAGCAUGGAAUAAUAGAAUACGACUGAUAUUCAAGCAUUGGUUGAGAGAUCAGUAAUGAUUAAUAGGAACAGUCGGGGGCAUUGGUACUUGACAGUCAGAGGUGAAAUUCGUAGAUUUGUCAAAGACUAACAAAUGCGAAAGCAUUUGCCAAGGAUGUUUUCA